RNAcentral lists this ribosomal RNA (490 nucleotides) under uncultured bacterium. RNAcentral describes it as "partial 16S ribosomal RNA". It matches the Rfam family "Bacterial small subunit ribosomal RNA", at positions 28 to 507 of the family's 1533-position model. The record is from RNAcentral.
GAUGAACGCUAGCGGCAGGCCUAAUACAUGCAAGUCGAACGGGAUCCAGAUCAAAGCUUGCUUUGGUUUGGUGAGAGUGGCGUACGGGUGCGUAACGCGUGAGCAACCUACCCUUGUCAGGGGGAUAGCCCGGCGAAAGUCGGAUUAAUACCGCAUGACAUCAUUGAGAGGCAUCUUUCGAUGAUCAAAGAUUUAUCGGACAAGGAUGGGCUCGCGUGACAUUAGCUAGUUGGUAAGGUAACGGCUUACCAAGGCUACGAUGUCUAGGGGCUCUGAGAGGAGAAUCCCCCACACUGGUACUGAGACACGGACCAGACUCCUACGGGAGGCAGCAGUAAGGAAUAUUGGUCAAUGGACGGAAGUCUGAACCAGCCAUGCCGCGUGCAGGAAGACGGCCCUAUGGGUUGUAAACUGCUUUUAUACGGGAACAAACGUCGGUACGUGUACCGGUCUGAGUGUACCGUAAGAAUAAGGAUCGGCUAACUCCGUG